This 336-nucleotide unclassified non-coding RNA is filed under the name soil metagenome. Its description in RNAcentral is "partial contains 5.8S ribosomal RNA, internal transcribed spacer 2, and large subunit ribosomal RNA". The stretch from base 1 to 120 matches the Rfam family "5.8S ribosomal RNA", at positions 35 to 154 of the family's 154-position model. The record is from RNAcentral.
GAUGAAGAACGUAGCGAAAUGCGAUAAGUAAUGUGAAUUGCAGAAUUCAGUGAAUCAUCGAAUCUUUGAACGCACAUUGCGCCCGCCAGAAUACUGGCGGGCAUGCCUGUUCGAGCGUCAUUUCAACCAUCAAGCCCCCGGCUUGUGUUGGGGACCUGCGGCUGCCGCAGGCCCUGAAAAGCAGUGGCGGGCUCGCUGUCACACCGAGCGUAGUAGCAUACAUCUCGCUCUGGGCGUGCUGCGGGUUCCGGCCGUUAAACCACCUUCAUAACCCAAGGUUGACCUCGGAUCAGGUAGGAAGACCCGCUGAACUUAAGCAUAUCAAUAAGCGGAAGA